CUUUGGGGGACCCAUUCACUCUACCCGUCUGUCUUUGUACCCAUACUGGUUUACUGUAAUGUUUGAAGUGGUAUUGUGAAUAAACUCAAACUCAAACUCAAAUUACUCUCAUGAAUAGU
This is a long non-coding RNA of Alosa sapidissima (American shad), 119 nucleotides long. RefSeq lists it as uncharacterized. The record is from RefSeq and is a predicted model, not a curated record. NCBI's taxonomy places the organism in Eukaryota, Metazoa, Chordata, Actinopteri, Clupeiformes, Clupeidae. The transcript has 3 exons.